Suricata suricatta (meerkat) is the source of this 779-nucleotide long non-coding RNA. RefSeq lists it as uncharacterized. The record is from RefSeq and is a predicted model, not a curated record. The transcript is spliced from 4 exons. Lineage: Eukaryota; Metazoa; Chordata; Mammalia; Carnivora; Herpestidae.
GCGGAGAGAGGCCGUUUUCCUCCCGCCCGGACGCGGAGAGCCGCUCGAAGGAGCUGGACCGUAAGGCGGGGCUGAGCCCCUGGACCCCCGCGGUGGUUUAUUUUCCUCCCCAGCCCGGUGCUCUUACACGUCAUGACUGGAUAACAGUUGCUUUCCAAUUUUGUUCAGCCUCCCGUCUGUGAAGGGAGCAGCAAACUGCACUUGAGGCAAGAGGGAGAAGCCGCUACAGUAUCUCAGUCUGGAGUCUCUGACACUACACUGGAAGUGAAGAGGUGACCCAAGUUUAAAUGAGAUGGCUUGUCUAGAUGUGCUGCUGAGGCUACUGUCAUCUUUACUGGGUACCAAGAAAAAGGAAACAGCUUAUUAUCAUUUGGGAGACCCAGAGUUGGAGAGUUCUCCACAUUAGCCUUGAAAAGGCUAACUCUACAGUGACCUCCCAUGGCGGAGCUUCAGGUGUAUCAUUAGUCAUGGCAUAGAAGGAAGCGGAGCCCCACACCCAGAAGAAUCUGCAACAGGAAAUUACAGCCCCCAACAGAAGACGUGUAUUACAUCUCCUACAAGAAAUAGGCUACCCCAGCAAUUCGGCCAAUGAGAAACCAUCAUCUACUUGGAACUCUUCCUUUUCUCCAAUGGAUUCUUUCAAAACAACCCCUCCCAACUUUCCCGUUCAUAAAAUAAUGUUCCUCCUCUUUGUAGGCCUAGCCUUUGGUUUUUGCUGUAGGUUGCUUGUCCCAAAUUACAACUCUCUGCUAUUCCCAAAUAAACCUUUGUACACUUUC